Molecule: long non-coding RNA, 665 nt
Filed under: Zonotrichia albicollis (white-throated sparrow)
Lineage: Eukaryota; Metazoa; Chordata; Aves; Passeriformes; Passerellidae
Description: lncRNA (ENSZALG00000018148.1)
Source: RNAcentral
GAAAGAAAGAAAAAUGUCAUAUGGUUACAAGCUUUUGAAAAAUGCAUGUAUACUUUUAAACACAGAAUGACAAAAGCAAAAAUACCUAACUUGAGGGAGGGGGUGCAAAGCAAAUGUAUUAGGAGUAGGCAUGAGUAAAAAGUUAAGUUUCCCUUUCUCACUUUUGUGUUUCUCCUUUACGGGUGCUGUAGAGACUGAAAAUAACUCUGCUCUCAGUGAUGUCAUCACCAUUAGAGGCAUGCUGUCAGCUUAAUUUGUUAUCUGACUUCAACAAAGGAAAUAGAAUCUGACUGCUGACUCACUUGUUAGGUCUGAAGAACAGUCUGCUUUUGCUGAGAGUGGAAAUGCCUCUGUUGAAAUGAUCUCGUGGAAAUAGGAAGAUGCAAGAAGAAAAUGUUCAAGUAGUCUGUAAAACCUGCACACUGCUACAAACAGAAGGAAAGUUCACAAAAGAGAAUAAGAGUUGGGGGAUAGUGAUUGAUCUGUAUCAUAUGCUGUCCUCAUGUGCUUUCUUUUGGGAGAAUAGCUGCUGUCCUUUGCCAUUCCUGAGCUGGCAUUUUACUCACCAGUCUCUGGGCAAGGAUUCCAAGCCAAACACCACAUCCAGUGGUUUCUGUCUGGAGAGGAUAUGAGUCUUCCACAUUCAGCUGUAGUGAAGAAGAUUA